AAGAGAAAAAGGCAACAUGCAAAGAUCUGUUUGGGAAGAGUGUGCAUGUGCAAAGGCCCUGGGGGUAUGAAAAGGUGUGGCACGUUUGGGGAAGGGAAAGAAGGCUGGAGUGUUUGGAGGAGGAGAUCAGAGAGCCGGGCAGAGGCCAGAUGACAAAGGCCUCAUUAUGACCUGUCAUGGCAAGAAGUUUGAAGGUCUCCUCAAUCCAGUGAGAAGCCACUAAAGGGCUUGAAGCAGCAGAGGAUUCAAUUUACGUUUUUAAAAGAUUGGUCUGGCUGCUGUUUGGAAACGUAUCUUUGAGAGAAAAGCCAAGACACAAGGAGACAAAUACCGUUGAUGAACAGGGCUUUGCUCCAGGUGGCAGCUGUAGGUCUGAGACGAAGUUGAAAGCCAAGUCCCAUAGGACCAGAGGACCGGCUGUGAGCUGGAUGUGCAGUGUAAGGGAGGGCCAGGAGGCAAGACGGACGCUUGAGUUUUUGGGUUAAGCCAAAUGUCGAUGUUCUCUGUCGAAGCGGGAAAGUUGGAGAGAAGCAAUUUCAUCCGAGGCGAGACACGAAUCGAGAGCUCCCCCACCAGGAACUGUCCGUUGUAAUGUCCUGCCACCCUCCACGAUGCCUCAGUGCUCAGGACCCCUGCCGCACCUUGGCUCCUGCCAGCCUCUGCCUAGACGCUCCUCCUUUGUCCUCAUUUGCUUUCUAAAGCCUACCCUGUGUCUUCCUUUCUCCUUCUGACAUCUGGGACUCAAGAUCACCCAACCCGAUUACCCAUUACCACUCCAUUAUAUCUGCUUCUCUAUUGUUUGCUAAUUGGUGUACCUAGAAAGUGUAUCUCCUGGCCAGGCAGUAACCGUGGUCAUUUUUCUCUUUCGAUGAGAAAGAGAAAUUGCAGGUCACUUUGCCUGCAAUUAAGGGUCUGUGGGGCGGAGGAAUGAUUUGUGAUAUCUUGCCCAUGGCCUCCUGGCCCCAAAACCAUGACUUUGUGCCGACUCGGGCAGGGGGAAAAUGGGAGAGAGUAUCAUACUUUUUGCCUCAAUCAUCCUUUUAAAAAAACCCCAACUUAUAAAGCUGGAGACGAUAGAAAGCCUGAAAAGAGGUAGUGUUAUGGAUUGUGCUUCUAAAGACGUAGACACCUGUAUACAAUCUGAUUUCUUUUUGUGCUCCUUCAUGACUGGUUUUAAUACUACGUUCCAGGUCCUAACCUUGCUGACGUAUUCCCUCCCUCAGCAUAGAGUCGGCUGUCCUUUCCAGAGAGCUUGUUGCUAAAGGAAAUUUCCAGUGGAUUCUCGGUCCCUUCUCCUCUGGGCUACCAAAGUCAUCGCUUUCCACAGAGCAGACUGGGAAGUAGGGUGUUUGAUGCUGGGACAGACAAGGAAGAGAAGGGAAAGGUAUGAUAUGCUAGCUGCUUUGAGCACCUUGUCCUUAAUACAACGGCUUUGCAAUGCUCUUGAGGUCACAUGUGGAGCCAUCCGGCAUACAGACUUUGGAGUCAGAGAACCGAGUCUGCGUGACCUUGGAAAAGUCACUGGCAUUUUCUGAUCGCCAUUCUUCAUGUUUAAAGUGUUGAUGGUCAGAGGAGCACCUACUUCCUGGGCUGGUCAAAGAGUUCUGGGAGAUCCCACACAGAGAGCACUCAACACAGCUCUCGGCACACAGAAAGCACUAGCUAACCAUCAGCGAUCUUUAUGGCCACCACUCUCCUUUGACAUAAGGAGACGGGGCUCCGAGGCCCUGAGUGACUUUGCCCACGGUCACACAGCUGGUGUGCAGCAGAACCCAGGGCUGUCCAGCUUGCGAGCCUACUCUUUGUACUAUGCCAUGUGCAAAGAAUCAAGAUUUCAAAACAGCGUUGUGGGCUGUAACUGGAAAGUGAAAAAAAAAAAACCAAAAACGCCUUUCAAUAGGGAUCAAUGCAAAGGACUUCAUUAAGGCCACAAAUACUAUUUACUCAAGAACAGUGAGGGACAGACCUGGCUCCAUCACUCUGAAAACACUUGAUGUCUAAGAGCAGCAAGGGUGCAAGCUUAAUGCGAGAGCAACGUGGCAAUCAGGACAACGCCUGACAUCUUGGGUGGCCUCAGGGUGUCCCGCUCAAACGGGGGGUGGUGGUUAUAAGGUUAUAAGAGCCUCGGGGCACGUGGUGGCUCCGACAGGUCCUCCACUGCACUGUGACCAGGUCUGAGAACGACAUCCCCGACAGGGCACAGCGUGUCCUUUUACGAAAGCGAAAGGCUCGGGAAACUAGGCCUGAGGAAGAACGACAGGAAGGAAUCAAGACCCCAGGAGAGGCUGGUUGGUGGCUUUGGCUCUUAGCGGGUCUCCCAUUUGGAAGAACUGAAUCUGGUUUGGGUGUCGCUCGAGUAUAACCGGGGUCAAAAUGAAGUGCUAGGAAGAUGCCCUCUGGUCAUAGCGAGAGUAAGAUGAUCUCUGACAACCUGCACUUCGAAACACAGCGCGGGCUGUUUUGUGAGGUGACGAACCUCCUGUCGUCCCAGAGGAAUUUCAACGGAGUCCGGGUAGCCAGUUUUCAAGACUCCACAGAGAAGAAGGACCCACAAGGAGGAAAUGCUCUCUGACCGGGAUGCUGGGGUGCGAUGCACAUUAGCAGUCUGACAAGGGUGCGGUCUACAUCAAAAAUGCCUCAUAAAUCCUUCCUGUUUCUGCUUUCCUUGAUGGUCGCCACCAUCUCCGUUCCUGGACCUUCUAGGUCCGAGCUUGGCAGAGGGAAAGCAGGAAAAUCUCGAUGCUGCAAGGCAGCAGGGGGGUCCCCGUGGCACUUGGAACAGUAACGGGGAAGCCAGUCCCCCGAGCCAACCAGGACUCUCCGCCCCGAUCGUGGGUGACCCCCGGAGCACAGGGGGGUAACCCCGAGCCAACCGAAGGUGCUCCUACCUGGAUUUAGGGCUCUGAAGGUUUUGGCGGCUGAGGAGUCGAGCGGCCGAGACCCGCUUUUUGUGGACAUUGGAUAGACCUGCGGGGAGCAAACCAACAAUCUUCCUGAGAUGGGGUUAAACUGUGGUCGGUGCAAACCCUCCAGCUUCUACUGACCCUCUCUUCACACUUCCACUGUCCCCAGAGUGAAGCCAAGAGGUGAAAGAAAUGACUCUGGGAGGGGGGGUGGUGCCGGCUGUGGAGAAUGCGAAGGAAAAGCAAAUCUGGUCGAGCUGAGUUGAGAAGAAGAGGUCAGAGUGACAUCCUCCUGCUGGAGGGAGGGACAUCCAAGGACACGCCUGGCUGAGCAGGGGUGGGGGGGCGCUGGCAGUGGACUUGUUUUGAGAGGAUUGCACGAAAGCUGCGGUCGUUGCUGAUGAGGGAGUUGUUUGCCUUCUCAAUGUUGACGUCAUCUCCCACGCAGAACACAUCGCAGGCUGCCUGUGGCACACACAGGGCUUCCGGUGACCUCUUUCAGCCAAGAGGGACUCUCCACCAACAGCUCGAAACCAUGACAUGAAUCCCUCCAUCCAUCCAUCCAUCCGCCCAUCUGUCCAUUCAUCCUUCCAUCCCUCCACCUACCCGCCCAUUCAUCCUUCUACCCUUCCUUCCUCCCACCUUCCCUUCCUCCCUCCU
Felis catus (domestic cat) is the source of this 3563-nucleotide long non-coding RNA. RefSeq lists it as uncharacterized. NCBI's taxonomy places the organism in Eukaryota, Metazoa, Chordata, Mammalia, Carnivora, Felidae. The transcript is spliced from 4 exons. The record is from RefSeq and is a predicted model, not a curated record.